UCUCCGUUGGUGAACCAGCGGAGGGAUCAUUACCGAGUUCUUCUACUCCCAAACCCCUGUGAACUUAUACCUUUACUGUUGCUUCGGCGGGUUAACGCCCCGGAAGGCCCAAAAAGCCGCCGGAACCAGGCGCCCGCCGGGGGACCCAAACUCUUGUAUUUCUUACUUUGCAUGUCUGAGUGGAAUCAUAAACAAAUGAAUCAAAACUUUCAACAACGGAUCUCUUGGUUCUG
This 233-nucleotide unclassified non-coding RNA is filed under the name plant metagenome. RNAcentral's name for it is "partial contains small subunit ribosomal RNA, internal transcribed spacer 1, and 5.8S ribosomal RNA". The record is from RNAcentral.